CACAUGCAAGUCGAACGAAGUAGCAAUACUUAGUGGCAGACGGGUGAGUAACAUGUAGGUAUCUGCCCUUUGGCCUGGAAUAACACGAGGAAACUUGUGCUAAUACCGGAUAAGUCUUUACGGAGAAAGCUUUAUGCACCAUUGGAUGAGCCUGCACUUGAUUAGUUUGUUGGUGGGGUAAUGGCCUACCAAGACUGUGAUCAAUAGCUGAUUUGAGAGGAUGAUCAGCCACAUUGGGACUGAGACACGGCCCAAACUCCUACGGGAGGCAGCAGUGGGGAAUCUUGCACAAUGGAGGAAACUCUGAUGCAGCGAUGCCGCGUGAGUGGAGAAGGCCUUUGGGUUGUAAAGCUCUUUCGUCGGGGAAGAAAAUGACUGUACCCGAAUAAGAAGGUCCGGCUAACUUCGUGCCAGCAGCCGCGGUAAUACGAAGGGACCUAGCGUAGUUCGGAAUUACUGGGCUUAAAGAGUUCGUAGGUGGUUGAAAAAGUUAGUGGUGAAAUCCCAGAGCUUAACUCUGGAACUGCCAUUAAAACUUUUCAGCUAGAGUAUGAUAGAGGAAAGCAGAAUUUCUAGUGUAGAGGUGAAAUUCGUAGAUAUUAGAAAGAAUACCAAUUGCGAAGGCAGCUUUCUGGAUCAUUACUGACACUGAGGAACGAAAGCAUGGGUAGCGAAGAGGAUUAGAUACCCUCGUAGUCCAUGCCGUAAACGAUGUGUGUUAGACGUUGGAAAUUUAUUUUCAGUGUCGCAGGGAAACCGAUAAACACACCGCCUGGGGAGUACGACCGCAAGGUUAAAACUCAAAUGAAUUGACGGGGACCCGCACAAGUAGUGGAGCAUGUGGUUUAAUUCGAAGAUACGCGCAGAACCUUACCAACACUUGACAUGUUCGUCGCGACUCUAAGAGAUUAG
Molecule: ribosomal RNA, 912 nt
Filed under: uncultured bacterium
Lineage: Bacteria
Description: bacterial SSU rRNA
Rfam family: Bacterial small subunit ribosomal RNA
Source: RNAcentral